Long non-coding RNA from Oncorhynchus gorbuscha (pink salmon), 1288 nucleotides. RefSeq lists it as uncharacterized. NCBI's taxonomy places the organism in Eukaryota, Metazoa, Chordata, Actinopteri, Salmoniformes, Salmonidae. The record is from RefSeq and is a predicted model, not a curated record. The transcript has 7 exons.
CUGGAGACUCCUCUUUUGUUUCCUUAGAUAUUUAUAGACCCAUGAAUUAUGGUCAUCUGGGUCUAAAAGACAUCCACUUCUUUGUGUACUCACAGAAUGACAAAAUAACUUAUACCUGACCAAGAUGGCUGCCAUUUCCAGCACUUUCUAGAGUUAUGAAGGUUUAUGACAGGCCACUCUCUGUUUCUAGGUUAUUGUAUCUCCAUGUGUGUACUGAUUUGAUUGCUGGUUCUUCUUCACAGGUUGCCUAACAUUGGCAACACUUGCUUCCUAAAUGCCACCCUGCAGUGCCUCCUGGUCCUGCCUUCCUUCUCAAAGGAAAUCCUACGCCAGGAACAACUCUGGAACUCCUCCCCCUUCUCCAACCUGCUCAGUGGCGCAAACCAGGCCUCAAAAGCAGACCUCAUUUGGAAGGUCAAGUACUCCUUGUCGGGAUAUGAUUUGAAGUAUCUGGGGGACACGCAACAGGACGCACACGAGUUACUUGUGAAUAUGCUGUGCUGUGCCAGCUGAAGGAGGAGGGAAUGAUACUGAAGACACUCGGGGUGAACUAUACCUGCCCUGUUUCCCAGCUGGAGUUCCAGCUUGUCUCAGUGCGCACAUGUACCAGGGCGAAAAGGUUGAAUGAAUUCACAUGUGCGGGCUGCAAAGGCCUCUACAGCUCAAAAGUGGAGCAGUUCCACACACUGCCUCUUGUGCUGGUUCUGCACCUGAAGAGGUUCGGAGGACCUGGGGGGUUGGAGAAGCUGGAGACUCCUCUUUUGUUUCCUUAGAUAUUUAUAGACCCAUGAAUUAUGGUCAUCUGGGUCUAAAAGACAUCCACUUCUUUGUGUACUCACAGAAUGACAAAAUAACUUAUACCUGACCAAGAUGGCUGCCAUUUCCAGCACUUUCUAGAGUUAUGAAGGUUUAUGACAGGCCACUCUCUGUUUCUAGGUUAUUGUAUCUCCAUGUGUGUACUGAUUUGAUUGCUGGUUCUUCUUCACAGGUUGCCUAACAUUGGCAACACUUGCUUCCUAAAUGCCACCCUGCAGUGCCUCCUGGUCCUGCCUUCCUUCUCAAAGGAAAUCCUACGCCAGGAACAACUCUGGAACUCCUCCCCCUUCUCCAACCUGCUCAGUGGCGCAAACCAGGCCUCAAAAGCAGACCUCAUGUGGAAGGUCAAGUACUCCUUGUCGGGAUAUGAUUUGAAGUAUCUGGGGGACACGCAACAGGACGCACACGAGUUACUUGUGAAUAUGCUGUGCUGUGCCAGCUGAAGGAGGAGGGAAUGAUACUGAAGACACUC